AGACCCGAAACCCGGUGAUCUAGCCAUGGGCAGGUUGAAGGUUGGGUAACACUAACUGGAGGACCGAACCGACUAAUGUUGAAAAAUUAGCGGAUGACCUGUGGCUGGGGGUGAAAGGCCAAUCAAACCGGGAGAUAGCUGGUUCUCCCCGAAAGCUAUUUAGGUAGCGCCUCGUGAAUUCAUCUCCGGGGGUAGAGCACUGUUUCGGCUAGGGGGCCAUCCCGGCUUACCAACCCGAUGCAAACUGCGAAUACCGGAGAAUGUUAUCACGGGAGACACACGGCGGGUGCUAACGUCCGUCGUGAAGAGGGAAACAACCCAGACCGCCAGCUAAGGUCCCAAAGUCAUGGUUAAGUGGGAAACGAUGUGGGAAGGCCCAGACAGCCAGGAUGUUGGCUUAGAAGCAGCCAUCAUUUAAAGAAAGCGUAAUAGCUCACUGGUCGAGUCGGCCUGCGCGGAAGAUGUAACGGGGCUAAACCAUGCACCGAAGCUGCGGCAGCGAACGUAUCACCCAAGACAACUUUACGGAGUUGACGAUUGACGGAGCGAAGCGACGUCAAAGCGUUCAUUAAAGUCGAGUUGGCUUAGGGAUACGUUCGUUGGGUAGGGGAGCGUUCUGUAAGCCUGUGAAGGUGUGUCGUGAGGCAUGCUGGAGGUAUCAGAAGUGCGAAUGCUGACAUAAGUAACGAUAAAGCGGGUGAAAAGCCCGCUCGCCGGAAGACCAAGGGUUCCUGUCCAACGUUAAUCGGGGCAGGGUGAGUCGACCCCUAAGGCGAGGCCGAAAGGCGUAGUCGAUGGGAAACGGGUUAAUAUUCCCGUACUUGGUGUUACUGCGAAGGGGGGACGGAGAAGGCUAUGUUGGCCGGGCGACGGUUGUCCCGGUUUAAGCGUGUAGGUGUGUGUUCCAGGUAAAUCCGGUUCACUUUAACACUGAGGCGUGACGACGAGGCACUACGGUGCUGAAGCAACAAAUGCCCUGCUUCCAGGAAAAGCCUCUAAGCAUCAGG
This 1007-nucleotide ribosomal RNA is filed under the name Salmonella enterica. RNAcentral's name for it is "partial 23S ribosomal RNA". It matches the Rfam family "Bacterial large subunit ribosomal RNA", at positions 711 to 1632 of the family's 2925-position model. Lineage: Bacteria; Pseudomonadati; Pseudomonadota; Gammaproteobacteria; Enterobacterales; Enterobacteriaceae. RNAcentral also lists the same sequence under 1 other name. The record is from RNAcentral.